Non-coding RNA from Chaetura pelagica (chimney swift), 187 nucleotides. Lineage: Eukaryota; Metazoa; Chordata; Aves; Apodiformes; Apodidae. The record is from Rfam.
AUCACUUCUCGGCCUCUUGGCUAAGAUCAAGUGUAGUAUCUGUUCUUAUCAGUUUAAUAUCUGAUAUGUCCUCGAUGAGAGGACUUUAUAUUAAACGGAUUUUUGGUUGUGGGAGUUUGACCCAGACCUUGCUCCCUUUUAUUUGUCAUCUUGAGUGUUAUUAGAAGACAUGUAGAGGAUAACCAGG